AGCCCCGAGGUGUUUUACAUAUUGAAUUGCAAAUUCAAAGUAGCAGACUAACCCCCUGCCGGGGCUU
Non-coding RNA from Morone saxatilis (striped sea-bass), 67 nucleotides. Lineage: Eukaryota; Metazoa; Chordata; Actinopteri; Moronidae. The record is from the annotation of a RefSeq genome assembly.